Molecule: long non-coding RNA, 324 nt
Organism: Eucalyptus grandis
Lineage: Eukaryota; Viridiplantae; Streptophyta; Magnoliopsida; Myrtales; Myrtaceae
Exons: 2
Source: RefSeq, a predicted model, not a curated record
CCCACAUUCCUCGAAUCAAACUUGAUUCGAAGAAUGUACAAUGGAAGGAUGAUUAGGUGAACUCCCAUGAUCUAUUUGCCAUAGCAUAUGGAUCUCCACAAGGAUUUGGACGUGCACUCAAUUAAUAUUUUGUCAAUCUCUUUCAUUUUCAGGGAUGAAAUCCUUAGCCGUUGAUAUUGUGCCUUUUUUCUUUUCCUUGAAUGAGUGUUGUUCUUUAUGAUUUGCUUGUGUUUAUUUUACAAAUUCCUCUAAGGAGAAAGGACCUUAUUCGUAUUGUAUAAGACUAAUUGGAGCAUUAUCUAUAUUUGAAUUUCCUUAGAACAA